GCUUGGCUGGUUCAGUCUGCAGAGCAUGCGACUCUUGAUCUCAGGAUCGUGAGUUCAAACCCCACGUUGGGCG
This 73-nucleotide transfer RNA is filed under the name Felis catus (domestic cat). It matches the Rfam family "tRNA". From Rfam's summary of the family: Transfer RNA (tRNA) molecules are approximately 80 nucleotides in length. Their secondary structure includes four short double-helical elements and three loops (D, anti-codon, and T loops). The record is from Rfam by way of RNAcentral. Lineage: Eukaryota; Metazoa; Chordata; Mammalia; Carnivora; Felidae. RNAcentral also lists the same sequence under 2 other names.